CAAUAGCGUAUAUUAAAGUUGUUGCAGUUAAAAAGCUCGUAGUUGGAUUUGUGGCGUACGGUGUGUUCCGGGCACUUGUUGUCUGAGUAACCUGCUGUUGCCAUCCUUGGGUGGAACCUGUGUGGCAUUAGGUUGUCGUGCAGGGGAUGCCCAUCAUUUACUGUGAAAAAAUUAGAGUGUUCAAAGCAGGCUUAUGCCGUUGAAUAUAUUAGCAUGGAAUAAUGAGAUAGGACUUUUUUGCUAUUUUGUUGGUUUGCGCAAGAAGGUAAUGAUUAAUAGGGACAGUUGGGGGUAUUCGUAUUCCAUUGUCAGAGGUGAAAUUCUUGGAUUUUUGGAAGACGAACUACUGCGAAAGCAUUUACCAAGAAUGUUUUCAUUAA
Molecule: ribosomal RNA, 380 nt
Filed under: uncultured eukaryote
Lineage: Eukaryota
Description: partial 18S ribosomal RNA
Rfam family: Eukaryotic small subunit ribosomal RNA
Source: RNAcentral